Molecule: non-coding RNA, 328 nt
Organism: Neolamprologus brichardi
Lineage: Eukaryota; Metazoa; Chordata; Actinopteri; Cichliformes; Cichlidae
Source: RefSeq, a predicted model, not a curated record
AUCAGUCUGGAUCUGUUUAACAUGUCUGACAGGCGAGCGUCCAGAGGAUCCACGUGGAGAUCACUGCAAAGGGAUACCGCUUCACUUUGGCUCGGACAAUCAAGCUUUAGGAGUCAGCAGGCUGCCAAAGCCCAGGGCUUGAGAGGAUCAACAACCAGCAAUAACUGGAAAUAAUGUAACUGCACAGACAUCUACAGGAAAAUGGACCUUUAGCUCUCUUCAUCUAUGACCUCAGUGAAUACCUUUCUGAUGAGUUUAUGGUCUCGUUUGCUAGUUUCAAGUCCUACUGAGCACAACAUAGGGCUGAUUUCAUAAAUUGUGGUCAAAA